UUCCAGAACAACCUAGAGAACACCUGAGUA
Molecule: non-coding RNA, 30 nt
Filed under: Homo sapiens (human)
Lineage: Eukaryota; Metazoa; Chordata; Mammalia; Primates; Hominidae
Source: RNAcentral